This is a long non-coding RNA of Oryzias latipes (Japanese medaka), 675 nucleotides long. RefSeq lists it as uncharacterized. The record is from RefSeq and is a predicted model, not a curated record. Lineage: Eukaryota; Metazoa; Chordata; Actinopteri; Beloniformes; Adrianichthyidae.
UGCUAAAUUAAGAACAUUUUUGAGCUGAAGAGUUUUGAUUGUAUAUUUGCAUCAAUAGGAGUCUAAGGGUUAAUGAUUUAUUUGACAGGAUAGUGUGGGGAACAAAACACAGGCAAAUAAGUAUGAGUUUUUUAUCCUAUUGCUGUCUUAGACAAGAUAAUAAAUCUGCUAAACUGUUAAGUCGGUCAGUAUUUAAAAAUCUUUGUUUUUACUUGUUUUGUUCUUGCUAUCAUACUAAUUUAAAUAUUACAGUAACUGAAAGCUUUAAUACUUUGACAGAUCAGCCGAGUUGUCCUGCAAAGAGCUGCAAUACCAGUUCAAGUGGAGAUACUGAAGUGGACUCAGAUGACACAAUAAUAUUACAACACAGUCCUACAACAAGACGAAGAGUUGAAGACGCCUCACUUGCCAAAGCGGUUGCUGUCAUUGGUGAGGAUGCAUCAUCCGUUGACGGUCAUGUGAAUGUCCUGCAUAUCCAGUACAGCAAGGUGCGAGAGGAUAUACUAAAGAAGUACCCUUUCUUGAAGACAACCUCAGGGUUGUUUGAUGAUGUUGACCGAAUGCAUCCAUCACCUGUGAGUUUAAGACAGCGCUUCAAGGACGGCGUUUACCAGUAUUGUGCCAAAGGUGCUUGAGCUUGUUCAAAGAAAAGCUCCAUUAGCCAAAGUCUCCAAA